GUUUAAAUAGUUUAAAAAAAAUAUGGAUUUGUGGUGUCAUUGAUGAGAUUUAUUCUCUUUAAACC
Molecule: transfer RNA, 65 nt
Filed under: Sarcophaga portschinskyi
Lineage: Eukaryota; Metazoa; Arthropoda; Insecta; Diptera; Sarcophagidae
Description: tRNA-His
Source: RNAcentral